UACGGAGGGUGCAAGCGUUAAUCGGAAUUACUGGGCGUAAAGCGUGCGUAGGUGGUUCGUUAAGUCCGUUGUGAAAGCCCCGAGCUCAACUUGGGAAUUGCAGUGGAUACUGGCGAGCUGGAGUGCGGUAGAGGAAGGUGGAAUUCCCGGUGUAGCGGUGAAAUGCGUAGAGAUCCGGAGGAACACCAGUGGCGAAGGCGGCUGCCUGGCCUGUUCUUGACGCUGAGGCGCGAAAGCUAGGGGAGCAAACGGG
RNAcentral lists this ribosomal RNA (253 nucleotides) under uncultured bacterium. Its description in RNAcentral is "partial 16S ribosomal RNA". It matches the Rfam family "Bacterial small subunit ribosomal RNA", at positions 524 to 776 of the family's 1533-position model. The record is from RNAcentral.